This 301-nucleotide ribosomal RNA is filed under the name uncultured bacterium. Its description in RNAcentral is "partial 16S ribosomal RNA". It matches the Rfam family "Bacterial small subunit ribosomal RNA", at positions 509 to 809 of the family's 1533-position model. The record is from RNAcentral.
CAGUCGCCGCGGGAAUACAGAGGGUGCGAGCGUUAAUCGGAUUUACUGGGCGUAAAGCGUGCGUAGGCGGCUUUUUAAGUCGGAUGUGAAAUCCCUGAGCUUAACUUAGGAAUUGCAUUCGAUACUGGGAAGCUAGAGUAUGGGAGAGGAUGGUAGAAUUCCAGGUGUAGCGGUGAAAUGCGUAGAGAUCUGGAGGAAUACCGAUGGCGAAGGCAGCCAUCUGGCCUAAUACUGACGCUGAGGUACGAAAGCAUGGGGAGCAAACAGGAUUAGAUACCCGUGUAGUCCCUGUCUCUUAUCA